This 250-nucleotide ribosomal RNA is filed under the name uncultured bacterium. RNAcentral describes it as "partial 16S ribosomal RNA". It matches the Rfam family "Bacterial small subunit ribosomal RNA", at positions 71 to 339 of the family's 1533-position model. The record is from RNAcentral.
AUCCACCUUUCGGGGUGGUGAAAGUGGCGCACGGGUGAGUAACGCGUGGGAACCUGCCUAGAAGUUCGGAAUAACCAUUGGAAACGAUGGCUAAUACCGGAUACGCCCUUCGGGGGAAAGAUUUAUUGCUUCUAGAUGGGCCCGCGUCCGAUUAGAUAGUUGGUGGGGUAAUGGCCUACCAAGUCGACGAUCGGUAGCUGGUCUGAGAGGACGAUCAGCCACACUGGGACUGAGACACGGCCCAGACUCC